This 498-nucleotide ribosomal RNA is filed under the name uncultured bacterium. Its description in RNAcentral is "partial 16S ribosomal RNA". It matches the Rfam family "Bacterial small subunit ribosomal RNA", at positions 30 to 523 of the family's 1533-position model. The record is from RNAcentral.
AUUGAACGCUGGCGGCAUGCCUUACACAUGCAAGUCGAACGGUAACAGGUCUUCGGAUGCUGACGAGUGGCGAACGGGUGAGUAAUACAUCGGAACGUGCCUAGUAGUGGGGGAUAACUACUCGAAAGAGUGGCUAAUACCGCAUGAGAUCUACGGAUGAAAGCAGGGGAUCGCAAGACCUUGUGCUACUAGAGCGGCCGAUGGCAGAUUAGGUAGUUGGUGGGAUAAAAGCUUACCAAGCCGACGGUCUGUAGCUGGGCUGAGAGGACGAUCAGCCACACUGGGACUGAGACACGGCCCAGACUCCUACGGGAGGCAGCAGUGGGGAAUUUUGGACAAUGGGCGCAAGCCUGAUCCAGCAAUGCCGCGUGCAGGAUGAAGUCCUUCGGGUUGUAAACUGCUUUUGUACGGAACGAAAAGCCCCGGGUUAAUACCCUGGGGUCAUGACGGUACCGUAAGAAUAAGCACCGGCUAACUACGUGCCAGCAGCCGCCGCCG